CUCUGCCCUUUGCAUUAGUGCUGGAUGAGGGCCCUUGCAGCGCUGUGACGGAGAGCAGAGCAAGGAUCCAGAACCAGGACCUGACCCAGCUCCCUCCGCAGGUCAGCACAGAACACCAGCUGGUCAGCGCAAGCUCUCCCAGCCCGCUGCUGCAGAGCCUCAGUCAGACAGCAUCCAAAGCUCGCAGCUGCUGUACAGACAAAUACCAUCUACACCCUGAUGCACUCGCAAGCUCAGAGCAUGCCAAGGACUCCAGGAUAGAUCCUGCACAGAACCUUCUACCCGCUUGGUGCUCAGACCCGAGCACCGCUCCAGGAGACCUGCCAGCUGGACAAGCACAGAGUACAAACCCACUCUGCUCCCAGGCACAGCACAUACAUGGGACCUGCAGACGGAGGGCUCCGCCAGUGCCACUAGGGGAAAUCUGCUCCAUCGCCCAGAUCCUGUUAGCGGACAUGAGCUGCAAUUUCUGAACAUCUGGGUGUUGGCUCCCUGCAAUGCAAGCCACAGCCAGCGGGC
Molecule: long non-coding RNA, 519 nt
Organism: Mauremys reevesii (Reeves's turtle)
Lineage: Eukaryota; Metazoa; Chordata; Testudines; Geoemydidae
Exons: 3
Source: RefSeq, a predicted model, not a curated record